GGGAGAUACAAAAGAGGUGGCUAAUCAUGACAGUCCUGUUAGGGGAGAUACAGAAGAGGUGGCUAAUCAUGGAAGUCCUGUCAAGGGAGAUGUAGAAGAGGUGGCUUAUGAAGGGGAAGAUGAGCAUGAUGAAAGCUUGUCAAUGAAAAGGGAUAACUCUGAUUUCGAUCUUCAAGCACGCGGUCGUAGCUCAGGGGGAGAAUAUGAUCAAUCAUUCAAUGAAGGGAUUCGUCGUAAUUGUUCAUUUGGAAGUGAAAUGAAUGAACAGGAUCAUAACAAAUCUGAGAAAGAUGCAGAGGUUGUGAAAAGUGGACACAUCAGUGAUCCGGGGUUUGGUAAAGUAGAAUCUUGGGCUUCUCCGAAGCUGCAACGCUCUUGCUCCGAUUUAGCAAUGAGGGAUAUGGUGAAUAAAUUGAGUGAGCAGCUAUCACUCUCAAAGACCAAAUCUUUUGAUGAAAUGCGGAGACUAGCUGAGAAGAUGACUUUAGGAAGUCCAGCUUCUGUGUUAACGCAUCGCAGUGCUGACAAAGUUAUGUUGAAGAAACAUUCUUCAAGCCAACUCCUACCAUCCAGAAAUAGAAAAUUGUGGUGGAAACUGUUCCUAUGGAGCCAUAGGAACGUGCAAGGAACAGGUGGUAUCCAACAACUACCAAUCCUUGCUAAGACUGCUCUAAACCAGCAGGGUGGGUACUCCUCGGACACACUAGAACUAGGGAAAGCCAUGGACUCGAGCAACUUGGGAUCUCCUGGUUCGUUCAUUGCAGAAUCCUUGAACAAAGGGCGGAAUGACAAGGGCAAGGAGGUUUUGGAUGGAUUCGGAGGAGUAAGCGGAUUUUGGCCACAGAACCAGUGGGUUGCUUUCCCUGAAGAAUCCUCUAGGUUUAUGAGAAUCAAUGAAUGGGUGAAUGAACUUCCCAGUCAUCCACCAUGCUUAAUUGAUGAACAUGAUCAUGUUGAAGAUGAGGUUGAUAUCUCGCCUUCGCCCGAUGCUGGUAAAUCACCUCUCAUUAGCCCAUACCCAAAUAUGAAUGUCCCAGAAGAGGUUGCACAUGCAAAUACAGUCAUCCGAUCUCUUAAUUCUUCCUCAACGGUUGCUCACAUCGCGAGCGCUGGUCUGAAAGUUAUCCCUGCUAUAUCACACUUAUGUAGCCUUCGAUCUGUCAAUCUAUCAGGCAACUUUAUAGUUCAAAUAACUCUGGGAUCACUACCAAAGGGUCUUCAUGUUCUCAAUUUAUCAAGGAACAAGAUCCACACAAUUGAAGGACUGAGGGAAUUGACACGUCUGCGCUUGCUUGACCUAAGUUACAACAGAAUCUCUCGAAUUGGACAAGGUUUGUCGAAUUGUACUCUCAUCAAAGAGCUCUACCUCGCUGGUAACAAAAUAAGUGAUAUUGAAGGGCUGCACAGACUUCUAAAGCUGACUGUUCUAGACUUGAGUUUCAACAAGAUAACAACUACUAAAGCGCUUGGUCAGCUUGUGGCAAACUACAAUUCUCUUCUGGCUCUAAAUCUAUUGGGAAAUCCAAUUCAGAUCAAUAUAAGUGAUGACCAACUGCGAAAGGCAGCUUGCAGCCUGCUCCCAAAACUUGCCUACCUGAACAAGCAGCCAAUUAAUUCCCAAAAGGCACGGGAUGUAGGAACAGAAGCUGUUGCAAAAGCAGCACUGGGCAGUAGCACUCGGGGCACUCAUAGAAGAGCAACCAGGAAGGUAAGCACUGGAUCUUCUUCAUCUGCAAGCGUGCAUAGGAGCAGCGCAGGUGUUUCUCAAAAGAGCAGGCAUAGGCUAAGAAGCCGAACUCAACUUUAGUCUUCCAAGGCCUUGAUCUAUCUGCUAGGGAGUGGUUUAGGCGUUCAUGUUAAAAGUUGUGGAGGUUCUUCCUCAUUCUGUAAAAUCUGUUUGAGAGCAAGGUAGUUAUGGCUUUCUAUGAUUGUUCAAAUUUGGCAUGUUUAUUGAUUUGGACCUUAAUAAAUGAAUUCCU
This 1979-nucleotide unclassified non-coding RNA is filed under the name Hevea brasiliensis (rubber tree). The record is from RNAcentral. Lineage: Eukaryota; Viridiplantae; Streptophyta; Magnoliopsida; Malpighiales; Euphorbiaceae.